Molecule: small RNA, 2966 nt
Filed under: Pan troglodytes (chimpanzee)
Lineage: Eukaryota; Metazoa; Chordata; Mammalia; Primates; Hominidae
Description: retained intron
Source: RNAcentral
GGAUCUCCAGCAGUGGCGUUACUUCUAGCGGCUGGAUACCGGGUUCUCCGCGAGAUCCCGAGAUAUUCUCCCCGCACGGAAGCGACGACUGGCCUGGCCAGAGGACUCGCGUGGGAGCGAGGUGCCGGCCCCGACAGGACGGUGAGCCUACCCGUAUAUUACAAGAAAUCUCAAGUCAAACACUGGAAAAGAUGUCAGAAGAUUCAGAAAAGGAAGACUAUUCAGACAGAACAAUCAGUGAUGAAGAUGAAUCGGAUGAGGAUAUGUUCAUGAAAUUUGUAAGUGAAGAUCUUCAUCGGUGUGCACUUUUAACAGCUGACUCUUUUGGUGAUCCCUUCUUCCCCCGGACUACACAGAUACUAUUAGAAUAUCAGCUAGGGAGAUGGGUGCCACGUCUUCGUGAACCAAGGGAUUUAUAUGGUGUCUCUUCUUCUGGUCCAUUGAGCCCAACACGGUGGCCAUACCACUGUGAAGUCAUCGAUGAAAAAGUCCAGCAUAUUGAUGGAGUCUCAUGCUGGAGUGAGUCUCACCAGGCUGGAGUGCAGUGGUGCGAUCUCGGCUCACUGCAACCUCCACCUCCCAGGUUCAAGCGAUUCUCCUGCUUCAGCCUCCUGAGUAGCAGAGACUACAGGCGCGUGCCACCACGCCCAGCUAAUUUUGUAUUUUUAGUAGAGACGGGGUUUCACCAUGUUGGCCAGGAUGGUCUCCGUCUCUUGACCUCGUGAUCCGCCUGCCUCAGCUUCCCAAAGUGCUGGGUUUUUUUUUUUUUUUUUUUUUUUUAACAUUCUGUAUCUCUUAGCUGACAUUGGAAAUCUGACCUGUAAUUUUCAAAAGUGUCAAAGUCAUGAAAUAUAAGGAAAGACUGAAAAGCUGUUCUAUAUCGAAGAAAACUAAAAUACACAUUAAAGUUCAAUGCAAUGUGUGAUUCUAAAGUGGAUCCUUUUGCUAUAGAGGACAUUAUUUAUACAACUGUCAAAAUUUUAAGUCUAAGGAUUAAAUAUUAGAAAUAAAUCAGUAUUAAUGUCCUGAUCUUGAUGGUUGUAUUAUGGUUAUUUAUAUAGGAGGAUUUCCUUCACUGGAGGAAAUAUAAGUAUUUGGAGAGGAUGGGGUAUUAUGUUUGCAAAUAUUUCAGGGGAAAAAAGUUGUUUUUCCUGUUAUUGCAACUUUUCUGUAUGUUUUCAACUGUUUCAAAUAAAAUUAAAAACCACAUGCCUAGGAAUAAAUCUGAUAGACAAGAUUUCUAUGAAGAAGCAAUAAAGCAUUGAGAGAGAUUUUUAAAAGACCUAAGUAAAUAGAGGGAAAUAGCAUGUUCAUAGAUUGGGAGACUCAUUAUUUUAAAGAUGUCAGUUAUCUCCAAACUGAUCUACAUGUCCCAUGCAAUACCAGUCAAAAUCCCAAUUGUGAUUUUUUUAUAGAAAUUGACAAGGUACUUUAAAAAUGCAUAUGGAAAUGCCAACGACCUCUUAAAAGGACAAAAAAAUUGUAAGAGUUACUAGCUCUUAAACCUUAAUAAAGUUAUAGUAAUAUAUGGCAUUGCUGAAAGGAAACAGGAAUGGAAUAGAACAGAGAGCUUAGAAACAGACCUAUGCAUAUAUGGUCAUUAUGACAAAGGUGGAACUGCAAGAGAAAGUUAAAGAUGGUCUUUUCAGUAAAUAAUACUGGAAUAAUUGGAUUUCCAUAUGGAAAAAGUGAAAUCUCACCCCAACCUUAUGCACAAAAGUCCAUUUUAAAUGGGUUAUGGAUAUAAAAAUGAAAGGUAAAACAAUAAGACUUCUAGAAAAUAAUACAAGAAAAUAUCUUCAUAAUAUUAAAAUCUGGAAAGGCUUAAACAGAACAGAAAAUACCCUAAACCAUAAAGAAAAAGACUGAUAAAUUUGACUACGAUACAAUUAAAAACCUCAGUUCAUCAAAAAAUAAAACGCAAACAAUAGAUUGGGAGAAUAUAUUAAUAUUUGCAAUACAUAACUGACAAAUAGAUCAUUUCUGGAAUACAUAAAGCAUUUCUGAAAGUAAUAAGAAAAGACAAAGAACCCAGUAGGAAAAUGGGCAAGAGACUUGAAUGGGCACUUUAUAAAAAAUGAUAUUCACAUGGCCAAUAAACAUAUGAGAUAAUAUCAACCUUAUCAUGAAGUCUUGUUGUGAUUUUAAUUUGCUAUUCCCUGAUUGUUAAUGAGGCUGAGUACUGUUUCACAGAAACCUUGCAAGGUUAAAUUUAACUUAUACUAAGGAAUGGUGAGCAUAUGGAGCAAACAGAAACUUUGUGACCUGCUGGUGGGUGUGUAAACUGGUAUAAUCAUUUUGGAUGAUAGCUUGGUGUUAUUUACUGAAAUUGAUACAUGCCCUGCAACCUAGAAUUUUUACUCCCAGUUAUAUACCUAAAACUGAUGUGAGCACAGGUGCUCUAAGCAAUAUGUAUAAAGCUGUUCAUAGCACCAUUUUUCUUAAUAGCCCCAAACUGAAACAGCCCAAAUGUCCAUUAUAAAUAGAAAUUGAUAAAUUGUAACAUUUUGUACAAUAUUAUAUAUCAAUGAAAUAAGCAAAUUACAGCAAUAUGCCACAAUGUGGAUUGAUUUCAUGAAUAUACGUGAAAAACAGCACAGAAGAAUACCAUACACUAUGUGAUUUUAAUUUUAUAAAGUUCAAAUAUAGGCAAAGCAAAGCAAUAGUUUUAUUUACACUUCUGUAGAUAAAAACUGUAUUAUACACAUGCAUAUAUAUGAAUGCUUAGGUGGUAAAAUUAUAAAGGAGAGUAAAGAAAUGACUGCAUUACAUUAAGACUAAUGGCUACUUUUCAAAGGGAGGGAGAGGCUGGUGAUGGGAAAGGGGCAUGAGUGGAGUAUGUAAGGUGCUUGCAAUGUAAUAUUUCUUGGCCUAUGUGGUAUUUGCUUUGUGAUAAAUCAGUAAGCUGUAGUUCUUUGUUUUUGCACUUUUCAUAAGUAUAAUACCUAAUAAACAUUUAAAUAUUU